AAAGCACACUGGUGUAAUUAGAGAAGGCUGAGGACCAAACUGAAUGGCAGGAACAACACAACAGCACUAACACAGAGCUUGGAGAUGGACACACUGCAUGUACUGUAACAGAGUAAAAGGCAAGAUGUCUGCAACCAUGCAGCAGGAACAUCAUACUGAAGAUGAAUAAACAGGAACACCCUGAGAUGACUGACAUGUGGAGACAUGAUAGUCAGUGAAUUGGCAGUGCUGGCUAAGUUAAGAGGAUAUGAGAAUCCACAGUGUGACAACAAGGAGUGAAUGGGAGGUUCACUCUGUGCCAACUGAGUCCUGCCUGAGCUACUACAAUGGCAUGUGGCAUG
Pseudophryne corroboree (corroboree frog) is the source of this 341-nucleotide long non-coding RNA. RefSeq lists it as uncharacterized. The transcript is spliced from 3 exons. The record is from RefSeq and is a predicted model, not a curated record. NCBI's taxonomy places the organism in Eukaryota, Metazoa, Chordata, Amphibia, Anura, Myobatrachidae.